UGCAUUAACUACUGUAAGUCGCUCUGGAUAAGAGCGUCUGCAAAUUGUAAAUG
Salmo salar (Atlantic salmon) is the source of this 53-nucleotide non-coding RNA. NCBI's taxonomy places the organism in Eukaryota, Metazoa, Chordata, Actinopteri, Salmoniformes, Salmonidae. The record is from Rfam.